RNAcentral lists this ribosomal RNA (468 nucleotides) under uncultured bacterium. RNAcentral describes it as "partial 16S ribosomal RNA". It matches the Rfam family "Bacterial small subunit ribosomal RNA", at positions 28 to 507 of the family's 1533-position model. The record is from RNAcentral.
GACGAACGCUGGCGGCGUGCUUAACACAUGCAAGUCGAACGGAAAGGCCCUGCUUUUGUGGGGUGCUCGAGUGGCGAACGGGUGAGUAACACGUGAGUAACCUGCCCUUGACUUUGGGAUAACUUCAGGAAACUGGGGCUAAUACCGGAUAGGAGCUCCUGCUGCAUGGUGGGGGUGGGACAGUUUCGGCGGUUGGGGAUGGACUCGCGGCUUAUCAGCUUGUUGGUGGGGUAGUGGCUUACCAAGGCUUUGACGGGUAGCCGGCCUGAGAGGGUGACCGGCCACAUUGGGACUGAGAUACGGCCCAGACUCCUACGGGAGGCAGCAGUGGGGAAUAUUGCACACUGGGCGGAAGCCUGAUGCAGCAACGCCGCGUGCGGGAUGACGGCCUUCGGGUUGUAAACCGCUUUCGCCUGUGACGAAGUGUGAGUGACGGUAAUGGGUAAAGAAGCACCGGCUAACUACGUG